UACGUAGGGGGCAAGCGUUAUCCGGAUUUACUGGGUGUAAAGGGGGCGUAGACGGCUGUGCAAGCCAGAUGUGAAAGCCCGGGGCUCAACCCCGGGACUGCAUUUGGAACUGUGUAGCUGGAGUGUCGGAGAGGCAGGCGGAAUUCCUAGUGUAGCGGUGAAAUGCGUAGAUAUUAGGAGGAACACCAGUGGCGAAGGCGGCCUGCUGGACGAUGACUGACGUUGAGGCUCGAAAGCGUGGGGAGCAAACAGG
This 253-nucleotide ribosomal RNA is filed under the name uncultured bacterium. RNAcentral's name for it is "partial 16S ribosomal RNA". It matches the Rfam family "Bacterial small subunit ribosomal RNA", at positions 524 to 776 of the family's 1533-position model. The record is from RNAcentral.